UGGGAAUUAGCUCAGCUGGGAGAGCGCAUCGCUGGAAGCGAUGAGGUCAGGGGUUCGAGGUCCCUAUUCUCUACCA
Molecule: transfer RNA, 76 nt
Filed under: Paenibacillus durus ATCC 35681
Lineage: Bacteria; Bacillati; Bacillota; Bacilli; Caryophanales; Paenibacillaceae
Description: tRNA-Ser
Rfam family: tRNA
About the family: Transfer RNA (tRNA) molecules are approximately 80 nucleotides in length. Their secondary structure includes four short double-helical elements and three loops (D, anti-codon, and T loops).
Source: RNAcentral